CCAACAGGGAUUGCCUCAGUAACGGCGAGUGAAGCGGCAACAGCUCAAAUUUGAAAUCUGGCCCCCCCGGCCCGAGUUGUAAUUUGCAGAGGAUGCUUCUGGCGCGGUGCCUUCCAAGUCCCCUGGAACGGGGCGCCAUAGAGGGUGAGAGCCCCGUCGGGUCGGCCGCCAAGCCUGUGUGAAGCUCCUUCGACGAGUCGAGUAGUUUGGGAAUGCUGCUCUAAAUGGGAGGUAGACCCCUUCUAAAGCUAAAUACCGGCCAGAGACCGAUAGCGCACAAGUAGAGUGAUCGAAAGAUGAAAAGCACUUUGAAAAGAGGGUUAAACAGUACGUGAAAUUGUUGAAAGGGAAGCGCUUGUGACCAGACGUGCGCCGGGUGUUCAGCGGGCGUUUUCGCCCGUGCAUUCGCCCCGGCGCAGGCCAGCGUCGGUUUGGGCGGGGGGACAAAGGUGCCAGGAACGUAGCUCCCCCGGGAGUGUUAUAGCCUGGUGCGUCAUGCCCCCGCCUGGACCGAGGUUCGCGCUCCGCAAGGACGCUGGCGUAAUGGUCCCCAGCGGCCCGUCUUGAAACACGGACCAAGGAGUCGAGGUUUUACGCGAGUGUCUGGGUGUCAAACCCGCACGCGUAAUGAAAGUGAACGUAGGUGGGAGCUUCGGCGCACCACCGACCGAUCCUGAUGUUUUCGGAUGGAUUUGAGUAGGAGCGUAGGGCCUCGGACCCGAAAGAUGGUGAACUAUACUUGGAUAGGGUGAAGCCAGAGGAAACUCUGGUGGAGGCUCGCAGCGGUUCUGACGUGCAAAUCGAUCGUCAAAUCUGAGUAUGGGGGGCGAAAGACUAAUCGAACCAU
This 847-nucleotide ribosomal RNA is filed under the name Codinaea dinghushanensis. RNAcentral describes it as "partial large subunit ribosomal RNA". It matches the Rfam family "Eukaryotic large subunit ribosomal RNA", at positions 65 to 943 of the family's 3401-position model. The record is from RNAcentral. Lineage: Eukaryota; Fungi; Ascomycota; Sordariomycetes; Chaetosphaeriales; Chaetosphaeriaceae.